GGCUUCCAGUUCUGCUCAGUUCAGCACUCGAGUUCUGGGUGACCCAAAUCCUGUUCUGGGCGCCCGAAACUGGCAAAACUCCCGUUUUGCUCCUUUGAGGGCGCCAAGUCUAUUUCUGCAUCCAUUUCAUGCAGAAACGACUUCGAUUCAGUCCGACACUCUCCAGAUGUGUCGACCAGUCACUAAUACUGCAGCCAAUCCUAUCCAAACCUCCGGAACACUACAAAAGUUAAGUUAGUAUACAGUUCAAAAUUAAAACCAAUUAUCUAAAUAAUUUUAAAUUUCUAUACUUUGUUAAAUUAAUAUUAGGAAAUGGUAUUUUAAAAAUAAUGGACUAUAUUUUUCAUAAAUUUUUUAUCUAAAGAGUAUUUGUCACGUCCCGGAUUAUACAUUUUUCCGGGCACACCGACAAAUCCGCCGUAUACAAAAGAAUUUCUCCUAUACACGAAGCGAUAACUGUACCUGUAACAAAAUUCAACCUACAACUAGUAGUAUAGAGCUGCUAAACAAAACUGAAAAAUAAAUAAACAUCAGAUUCACUAUACAUACAAAAGCUCUUAGAUACAACAUCUCUCGCUCCAGCGAGUAACAAGUAUAAUUAUGUACAUAAACCAAAA
RNAcentral lists this long non-coding RNA (617 nucleotides) under Ananas comosus (pineapple). RNAcentral describes it as "long non-coding RNA (ACOM_LNC008627)". Lineage: Eukaryota; Viridiplantae; Streptophyta; Magnoliopsida; Poales; Bromeliaceae. The record is from RNAcentral.